GCAGAUAGCUCAGUGGGUAGAGCAUGAGACUCUUCAUCUCAGGGCUGUGGGUUUGAGUCUCAUGUUGGGCA
Molecule: transfer RNA, 71 nt
Filed under: Podarcis lilfordi (Lilford's wall lizard)
Lineage: Eukaryota; Metazoa; Chordata; Lepidosauria; Squamata; Lacertidae
Description: tRNA.Lys
Rfam family: tRNA (bases 6-63)
About the family: Transfer RNA (tRNA) molecules are approximately 80 nucleotides in length. Their secondary structure includes four short double-helical elements and three loops (D, anti-codon, and T loops).
Source: RNAcentral